AGAGGAAAAUGGAAAAAAUCGGGCUGCUAACCUUGAUUUUGGGUAGUUCAAUUCUAUCCUUCCUCUU
RNAcentral lists this transfer RNA (67 nucleotides) under Cittarium pica. Its description in RNAcentral is "tRNA-Ser". The record is from RNAcentral. Lineage: Eukaryota; Metazoa; Mollusca; Gastropoda; Trochida; Tegulidae.